ACUUUAUAAAUUAUUUAAAUUUGGUUAAUUUAUUAAUAAAAAUCAAGUUUAAUUAUUUUAUUUUAUUGGGGUGAUAUGAGUAUAAUUAUUAUUAACUGCUUAAAUAAAAUACUAUAAUUAGAGAAUUAAGUGUUAAUGAUCCUUAAUUUUAAGAUUAAAAGAACAAGUU
Molecule: ribosomal RNA, 169 nt
Filed under: Cycloxanthops truncatus
Lineage: Eukaryota; Metazoa; Arthropoda; Malacostraca; Decapoda; Xanthidae
Description: partial 16S rRNA
Source: RNAcentral